UACCAGCGCCCCGAGUGGUCGGGACGAUUAUUGGGCCUAAAGCAUCCGUAGCCGGUUCUUUAAGUCCUCCGUUAAAUCCACCUGCUUAACAGAUGGGCUGCGGAGGAUACUACAAGGCUAGGAGGCGGAAGAGGCAAGCGGUACUCAGUGGGUAGGGGUAAAAUCCUCUGAUCCAUUGAAGACCACCAGUGGCGAAGGCGGCUUGCCAAUACGCGCUCGACGGUGAGGGAUGAAAGCUGGGGGAGCAAACCGG
Molecule: ribosomal RNA, 253 nt
Filed under: uncultured bacterium
Lineage: Bacteria
Description: partial 16S ribosomal RNA
Rfam family: Archaeal small subunit ribosomal RNA
Source: RNAcentral